Molecule: ribosomal RNA, 230 nt
Filed under: uncultured bacterium
Lineage: Bacteria
Description: partial 16S ribosomal RNA
Rfam family: Bacterial small subunit ribosomal RNA
Source: RNAcentral
CGGCCCCUACGGGGGGCAGCAGUGGGGAAUAUUGGACAAUGGGGGGAACCCUGAUCCAGCGACGCCGCGUGAGUGAAGAAGUAUUUCGGUAUGUAAAGCUCUAUCAGCAGGGAAGAAAGAAAUGACGGUACCUGAAGAAGAAGCCCCGGCUAACUACGUGCCAGCAGCCGCGGUAAUACGUAGGGGGCAAGCGUUAUCCGGAUUUACUGGGUGUAAAGGGGGCGCAGACG